GGACUUGUAGCUCAGCAGGUAGAGCGCGCGGCUUUUAACCGCGUGGUCGUGGGUUCAAUCCCCACCAGGUUCAUCA
This 76-nucleotide transfer RNA is filed under the name Chlamydiota bacterium. RNAcentral describes it as "Chlamydiae bacterium (freshwater metagenome) tRNA-Lys". It matches the Rfam family "tRNA". From Rfam's summary of the family: Transfer RNA (tRNA) molecules are approximately 80 nucleotides in length. Their secondary structure includes four short double-helical elements and three loops (D, anti-codon, and T loops). Lineage: Bacteria; Pseudomonadati; Chlamydiota. The record is from RNAcentral.